Molecule: transfer RNA, 77 nt
Filed under: Acholeplasmataceae bacterium
Lineage: Bacteria; Bacillati; Mycoplasmatota; Mollicutes; Acholeplasmatales; Acholeplasmataceae
Description: tRNA-Glu
Rfam family: tRNA
About the family: Transfer RNA (tRNA) molecules are approximately 80 nucleotides in length. Their secondary structure includes four short double-helical elements and three loops (D, anti-codon, and T loops). Further hydrogen bonds mediate the characteristic L-shaped molecular structure. tRNAs have two regions of fundamental functional importance: the anti-codon, which is responsible for specific mRNA codon recognition, and the 3' end, to which the tRNAs corresponding amino acid is attached (by aminoacyl-tRNA synthetases). tRNAs cope with the degeneracy of the genetic code in two manners: having more than one tRNA (with a specific anti-codon) for a particular amino acid; and 'wobble' base-pairing, i.e. permitting non-standard base-pairing at the 3rd anti-codon position.
Source: RNAcentral
GGCCCGUUGGAGAAGCGGUUUAACUCACAUGCCUUUCACGCAUGCACACACGGGUUCGAAUCCCGUACGGGUCACCA